UACGUAGGCAGCGAGCGUUGUUCGGAUUUACUGGGCGUAAAGGGCGCGUAGGCGGCACCGCAAGUCGACUGUGAAAUCUCCGGGCUUAACUCGGAAAGGUCAGCCGAUACUGCGGGGCUAGAGUGCAGAAGGGGCAACUGGAAUUCUCGGUGUAGCGGUGAAAUGCGUAGAUAUCGAGAGGAACACCUGCGGCGAAGGCGGGUUGCUGGGCUGACACUGACGCUGAGGCGCGAAAGCUAGGGGAGCGAACGGG
RNAcentral lists this ribosomal RNA (253 nucleotides) under uncultured bacterium. RNAcentral describes it as "partial 16S ribosomal RNA". It matches the Rfam family "Bacterial small subunit ribosomal RNA", at positions 524 to 776 of the family's 1533-position model. The record is from RNAcentral.